UAGAGUUUGAUCAUGGCUCAGGAUGAACGCUGGCGGCGUGCCUAAUACAUGCAAGUCGAACGAACUUCCGUUAAUUGAUUAUGACGUACUUGUACUGAUUGAGAUUUUAACACGAAGUGAGUGGCGAACGGGUGAGUAACACGUGGGUAACCUGCCCAGAAGUAGGGGAUAACACCUGGAAACAGAUGCUAAUACCGUAUAACAGAGAAAACCGCAUGGUUUUCUUUUAAAAGAUGGCUCUGCUAUCACUUCUGGAUGGACCCGCGGCGUAUUAGCUAGUUGGUGAGGUAAAGGCCCACCAAGGCAGUGAUACGUAGCCGACCUGAGAGGGUAAUCGGCCACAUUGGGACUGAGACACGGCCCAGACUCCUACGGGAGGCAGCAGUAGGGAAUCUUCCACAAUGGACGCAAGUCUGAUGGAGCAACGCCGCGUGAGUGAAGAGGGUUUCGGCUCCUAAAGCUCUGUUC
Molecule: ribosomal RNA, 468 nt
Filed under: Pediococcus pentosaceus
Lineage: Bacteria; Bacillati; Bacillota; Bacilli; Lactobacillales; Lactobacillaceae
Description: bacterial SSU rRNA
Rfam family: Bacterial small subunit ribosomal RNA
Source: RNAcentral